This 1360-nucleotide ribosomal RNA is filed under the name uncultured bacterium. Its description in RNAcentral is "bacterial SSU rRNA". It matches the Rfam family "Bacterial small subunit ribosomal RNA", at positions 44 to 1399 of the family's 1533-position model. The record is from RNAcentral.
AGGCCUAACACAUGCAAGUCGAGGGGCAUCACAGGGUAGCAAUAUCCGGGUGGCGACCGGCGCACGGGUGAGUAACGCGUAUGUAACCUGCCCACUACAGGGGGAUAGCCCGGAGAAAUCCGGAUUAAUACCGCAUAAAACGGUUGUACCGCCUGGUACGACAAGUAAAAGAUUUAUUGGUAGUGGAUGGGCAUGCGUCCCAUUAGGUAGUUGGUAAGGUAAUGGCUUACCAAGCCGUCGAUGGGUAGGGGCACUGAGAGGUUUGUCCCCCACACUGGUACUGAGACACGGACCAGACUCCUACGGGAGGCAGCAGUGAGGAAUAUUGGUCAAUGGUCGGGAGACUGAACCAGCCAAUCCGCGUGAAGGACGACGGUAUUAUGUAUUGUAAACUUCUUUGGCAGGGGAGUAAAAAGGAUCACGAGUUGGUUCCUUGCAAGUACCCUGAGAACAAGCAUCGGCUAACUCCGUGCCAGCAGCCGCGGUAAUACGGAGGAUGCAAGCGUUAUCCGGAUUUAUUGGGUUUAAAGGGUGCGUAGGCUGGAUGUUAAGUCGGCGGUGAAAUUCUGUGGCUCACCCACAGGUGUGCCGUCGAAACUGAUAUUCUUGAGAGAAGACAAGGCAGGCGGAAUUCGUGGUGUAGCGGUGAAAUGCAUAGAUAUCACGAGGAACACCGAUAGCGCAGGCAGCUUGCCGGGCUUCAACUGACGCUGAGGCACGAAAGUGCGGGAAUCAAACAGGAUUAGAUACCCUGGUAGUCCGCACAGUAAACGAUGAUCACUCGCUGUCCGCGAUAUAAAGUGGGUAGCCAAGCGAAAGCGGUAAGUGAUCCACCUGGGGAGUACGCCGGCAACGGUGAAACUCAAAGGAAUUGACGGGGGCCCGCACAAGCGGAGGAACAUGUGGUUUAAUUCGAUGAUACGCGAGGAACCUUACCCGGGCUUGAAAUGUGACCGACGAUAGAGGAAACUUUAUUUCCAGCAAUGGCGGUUAUGUAGGUGCUGCAUGGUUGUCGUCAGCUCGUGCCGUGAGGUGUCGGCUUAAGUGCCAUAACGAGCGCAACCCUUACCGGUAGUUACCAGCGGUUUUAGCCGGGGACUCUACCGGGACUGCCACCGCAAGGUGAGAGGAAGGUGGGGAUGACGUCAAAUCAGCACGGCCCUUACGUCCGGGGCGACACACGUGUUACAAUGGGUGGUACAAAGGGCAGCUAUACGGCGACGUAACGCCAAUCUCAAAAACCACUCCCAGUUCGGAUCGGAGUCUGCAACCCGACUCCGUGAAGCUGGAUUCGCUAGCAAUCGCGCAUCAGCCAUGGCGCGGUGAAUACGUUCCCGGGCAUUGUACACACCGCCCGUAU